CAAAAGCAUACUGGUAUAAGAUAAAUGUCCAAAGAAAACUAUUUUCUUAAAAAUCAUUAUGUGAGAGCCAUUGCUUGUACUCUGCUGUUGAUAGA
This is a long non-coding RNA of Xenia sp. Carnegie-2017, 95 nucleotides long. RefSeq lists it as uncharacterized. The record is from RefSeq and is a predicted model, not a curated record. NCBI's taxonomy places the organism in Eukaryota, Metazoa, Cnidaria, Anthozoa, Malacalcyonacea, Xeniidae. The transcript has 3 exons.